CAGCAGCCGCGGGAAUACAGAGGGUGCGAGCGUUAAUCGGAUUUACUGGGCGUAAAGCGUGCGUAGGCGGCUUCUUAAGUCGGAUGUGAAAUCCCUGAGCUUAACUUAGGAAUUGCAUUCGAUACUGGGAAGCUAGAGUAUGGGAGAGGAUGGUAGAAUUCCAGGUGUAGCGGUGAAAUGCGUAGAGAUCUGGAGGAAUACCGAUGGCGAAGGCAGCCAUCUGGCCUAAUACUGACGCUGAGGUACGAAAGCAUGGGGAGAAAACAGGAUUAGAUACCCGGGUAGUCCCUGUCUCUUAUAC
Molecule: ribosomal RNA, 301 nt
Filed under: uncultured bacterium
Lineage: Bacteria
Description: partial 16S ribosomal RNA
Rfam family: Bacterial small subunit ribosomal RNA
Source: RNAcentral